GAUGAACGCUAGCGGCAGGCCUAAUACAUGCAAGUCGAACGAUAGUGAGAAGCUUGCUUCUCACGAAAGUGGCGCACGGGUGCGUAACGCGUAUGCAACCUACCUUAAUCAGGGGGAUAGCCCGAAGAAAUUCGGAUUAACACCGCAUAAAAUCACAGUAUAGCAUUAUACAAUGAUCAAAUAUUUAUAGGAUUAAGAUGGGCAUGCGUGACAUUAGUUAGUUGGCGGGGUAACGGCCCACCAAGACCACGAUGUCUAGGGGAUCUGAGAGGAUGACCCCCCACGCUGGUACUGAGACACGGAACAGACUCCUACGGGAGGCAGCAAUAAGGAAGAUUGGUCAAUGGAGGCAACUCUGAACCAGCCAUGCCGCGUGCAGGAAGACAGCCCUCUGGGUCGUAAACUGCUUUUAUUCGGGAAUAAACCUAUCUACGUGUAGAUAGCUGAAUGUACCGAAGGAAUAAGGAUCGGCUAACUCCGUGCCAGCCGCCGCCGUAA
Molecule: ribosomal RNA, 498 nt
Filed under: uncultured bacterium
Lineage: Bacteria
Description: partial 16S ribosomal RNA
Rfam family: Bacterial small subunit ribosomal RNA
Source: RNAcentral